Stegastes partitus (bicolor damselfish) is the source of this 514-nucleotide long non-coding RNA. RefSeq lists it as uncharacterized. The transcript has 2 exons. Lineage: Eukaryota; Metazoa; Chordata; Actinopteri; Pomacentridae. The record is from RefSeq and is a predicted model, not a curated record.
AGCAGUGCAUUUUGAAAAGCAUUUCUGCAGCUUUAACAAUCACUACAACAGAGUUUAAUGUUGCUUUUCCACCACUUUUCUACCAAAAUCCAACCUCACUCCCACUGCUCUCCUGACAUCACGAUCAUGUGCCGUCGCUGGAUUUAUACUGGAGGUAUCUGAGUCACCGCUGACAUCCAGGAGGCUUCAAAUGAUUCACUCCCUACUGAAUGAGCAGCUUGAUUUGAAAUGAUUCAGCAGCCGUGGCCACAGCAGCUGAACGUCAACAUUUUCCAGGAGGGUUUGUGAGACUUUCUGGCUUCCCAAGUUGGAAAUUUGUCCCAGAGAAGUACUUGUAGGUUUUCAAGUUGCAGCUGAAGUAAAUAUAUGAGAUUCUUUAUCAAUCCUAACUUCUCUUGGGAUGAUAAAAGGAAAUGUGUGAUUGGUGAAUAACUGCACAAGGUGACUCACAUGACAUUAUUUCAAAUAGAAGCAACUUAUUUCUCAAAUUUUUUAAUAAAGUGAUGACAUUUAA